CCUACGGGUGGCAGCAGUGGGGAAUAUUGCGCAAUGGGCGAAAGCCUGAAGCAGCGACGCCGCGUGAAGGAUGAAGGUUUUCGGAUCGUAAACCCCUGUUAGUAGGGAAGAUAAGGCCGUUAUCUAACGAAUAGUCACCGGCUAACUCCUUGCCAGCAGCCGCGGUAAUACGGAGGGUGCAAGCGUUACUCGGAAUCACUGGGCGGAAAGAGCGCGUAGGCGGGAUAGCAAGUCAGAGGUGAAAUCCCCGGGCUUAACCAUAGAACUGCAUUUGAAACUGUCAAUCUAGAGUAUGUGAGAGGGAGGUGGAAUUCCAGGUGUAGGGGUAAAAUCCGUAGAGAUCUAGAGGAACACGCAUGGCGAAGGCGACCUGCUAGAACAUAACUGACGCUGAGGCGCGAAAGCGUGGGGAGCAAACAGGAUUAGAUACCCUUGUAGUC
This 440-nucleotide ribosomal RNA is filed under the name uncultured bacterium. RNAcentral describes it as "partial 16S ribosomal RNA". It matches the Rfam family "Bacterial small subunit ribosomal RNA", at positions 338 to 795 of the family's 1533-position model. The record is from RNAcentral.